RNAcentral lists this ribosomal RNA (253 nucleotides) under uncultured bacterium. RNAcentral's name for it is "partial 16S ribosomal RNA". It matches the Rfam family "Bacterial small subunit ribosomal RNA", at positions 524 to 776 of the family's 1533-position model. The record is from RNAcentral.
GACGUAGGAUGCGAGCGUUGUCCGGAAUUAUUGGGCGUAAAGCGUCCGUCGGCGGUCCAGUAAGUCUGGGGUUAAAGACCGAGGCUCAACCUCGGGAGUGCCCUGGAUACUGUUGGGCUGGAGGGUGGAAGAGGGAAGUGGAAUUCCGAGUGUAGCGGUGAAAUGCGUAGAUACUCGGAGGAACACCGGUGGCGAAAGCGACUUCCUGGUCCAUUCCUGACGCUGAGGUACGAAAGCCAGGGGAGCAAACGGG